AAGUGUCUAGUUUAAGCAUGUCAAUUUUCACAUUCAUUGGAUCAACCAUCAUUAUUUCACAAAGAAAAUGGUAAGCAAGGUACAAGAUAGCAUAUGCAUACACAAUCCUUAAGCCAAAACAAAAUUCAUGCGUGCACAAUUUCUGGAAAAAUAUUCAUAAAAAACUAGACACAACAUGGAACAUCAUGCAAAAAAUCACAGGCCAAUUGGAUCAAUAUUCAAUGAGUUAUGAUUUUUUGAAUGAAUGAAAAAAUUAAAAAAAAC
This 264-nucleotide long non-coding RNA is filed under the name Lathyrus oleraceus (garden pea). Its description in RNAcentral is "Pisum sativum (pea) long non-coding RNA (PSAT_LNC040542)". The record is from RNAcentral. Lineage: Eukaryota; Viridiplantae; Streptophyta; Magnoliopsida; Fabales; Fabaceae.